Long non-coding RNA from Balaenoptera ricei (Rice's whale), 652 nucleotides. RefSeq lists it as uncharacterized. The transcript has 3 exons. NCBI's taxonomy places the organism in Eukaryota, Metazoa, Chordata, Mammalia, Artiodactyla, Balaenopteridae. The record is from RefSeq and is a predicted model, not a curated record.
AAAGACGCGAUGUUGCUAGCUCAUGGAUGAAAGGAGCCACCACGGAAGAAAUGCAUGUGGUUUCUAAAAGCUAGAAAAAAGUAAGGAAUGGAUUUUCCCAUGGAGCCUCCAGAGGACCUGUGUCAGACUCUCACCUACAGAACAGCACUGGUGCUUCUGGUUCUCAGCUCUUCAGACUCGGACUGAAUUACAUCACUGGCUUUCCUAGUUCUCAGGCUUGAAGACAGUAGAUGAUGGGACAUCUUGACCUGCAUAAUUACUUUCUAAAAAACUUCAGAAAAUGAGAAGCUCAUCACCACGUGAAUUUUGAUUUAUAGCUCUGUUUAAGAAAGAACUGUCAGGAGCUUCCCUGGUGGCACAGUGGUUAAGAAUCCACCUGCCAAUGCAGGGGACAUGGGUUCAAGGCCUGGUCCGGGAAGAUCCCACAUGCCGCGGAGCAGCUAAGCCCGUGCACCACAACUACUGAGCCUGCACUCUAGAGCCUGUGAGCCACAACUACUGAGCCCGCGUGCCACAACUACCAAAGCCUGUGUGCCCUAGGGCCUGUGCUCUGCAACAAGAGAAGCCACCACAAUGAGAAGCCCGCGCACUGCAACGAAAGUAGCCCCUGCUCACUGCAAAUAGAGGAAGCCUCGCACAGCAAUGAAGAACC